RNAcentral lists this ribosomal RNA (468 nucleotides) under uncultured bacterium. RNAcentral describes it as "partial 16S ribosomal RNA". It matches the Rfam family "Bacterial small subunit ribosomal RNA", at positions 28 to 507 of the family's 1533-position model. The record is from RNAcentral.
GAUGAACGCUGGCGGCGUGCCUAACACAUGCAAGUCGAACGGAAAGGCUCUGCUUUUGUGGGGUGCUCGAGUGGCGAAAGGGUGAGUAACACGUGAGUAACCUGCACUUGACUUUGGGAUAACUUCAGGAAACUGGGGCUAAUACCGGACAGGAGCUCCUGCUGCAUGGUGGGGGUUGGAAAGUCUCGGCGGUUGGGGAUGGACGGGCGGCUAAGCAGUUUGUUGGUGGGGGAGUGGAUUACCAAGGCGUUGGCGGAUAGCCGGCCUGAGAGGGUGAACAGGGACAAUAGUCCUAAGAUAGGGCCCAGACGCGAACGGGAGGCAACGGGGGGGAGUCUGACACAAUGAGCGGGAGUGUGAGGCAACAACGCCGCGUGCGUGAAGCCGGCCUUCUGGUUGAGAACCGCUUUCGCCUGAGACGAAGCGGGAGUGACGGUAACGAAUAAAGAAGCACCGGCUAACUACGUG